GAUGAACGCUAGCUACAGGCUUAACACAUGCAAGUCGAGGGGCAGCGGUAUCGAAAGCUUGCUUUCGGUAGCCGGCGACCGGCGCACGGGUGAGUAACGCGUAUCGAACCUGCCUCAUACUCGGGAAUAGCCUUGCGAAAGUAAGAUUAAUGCCCGGUGUUUUCAGAGUCCCGCAUGAGGCUUUGAACAAAGAUUUAUCGGUAUGAGAUGGCGAUGCGUCCCAUUAGCUUGUUGGCGGGGUAACGGCCCACCAAGGCAUCGAUGGGUAGGGGUUCUGAGAGGAAGGUGCCCCACAGGGGAACUGAGAACCGGUCCAAACUCAUACGGGAGGCAGCAGUGAGGAAGAUUGGUCAAUGGGCGGAAGCCUGAACCAGCCAAGUCGCGUGCAGGAAGGCGGCCCUCCGGGUUGUAAACUGCUUUUAGUUGGGAAUAAAACGGGGCUCGUGAGCCCGCUUGCAUGUACCAUCAGAAAAAGGACCGGCUAAUUCCGUG
Molecule: ribosomal RNA, 492 nt
Filed under: uncultured bacterium
Lineage: Bacteria
Description: partial 16S ribosomal RNA
Rfam family: Bacterial small subunit ribosomal RNA
Source: RNAcentral